GGGGACAAAGUAUCUGCGAAACAGAUUUAAAAUUUGAUCCCAUCCUCAAACCUGUCUCGGAGGACUCUCUCCUCCAUCAUUAAAAAAAAAAAAUUCUCCAUCUUAAUAUCCUUAAUUAAACGGAACAAUCCUAACAGAAAUCCCCAUUUACAAAUUUUAUACAUUGUCAAAUGUCAUCCUAUAAUAAUGUGAUACAAUAAUCCUAAGACUAUUGUUAACUAUAGAAAAAUUUACAGCUUUAUAAAUAAUAAAAUACAAAAAAACAUCUCUACAUACCAAUAAGAACAUUGUCAAAUGCCUAUCUUAUGACUUAUGACUUCAAUGUUUCUACAUUUUGCACCUUCUUAUAUCCUCCAACCAUGCUUUGUUUUGCAUAUAUAUCUAUAUAAAAAAGAUGAAAAGACACAAAUCAUAUAUCCUUCACUUCUAUUUCUUGUCACAUUCCAACAUUCUUGUAUCCUAUGAACCUUCGAAAAGUGUUAUAGACGACUUUUGGUGAACAAAAACUCUAUACUAAUCAGAAGAAAUGUUCCCCGGCUUACGAGCCAAUAUAAUAUGCACUCAUAGCAUCUCCGAAAAGUGUUAUAGACUCUUCGUGAACAAAAACUCUAUAAC
Molecule: long non-coding RNA, 615 nt
Filed under: Trifolium pratense (red clover)
Lineage: Eukaryota; Viridiplantae; Streptophyta; Magnoliopsida; Fabales; Fabaceae
Description: long non-coding RNA (TPRA_LNC012424)
Source: RNAcentral